UCUGGUUGAUCCUGCCAGCAAUCAUAUGCUUGUCUCAAAGAUUAAGCCAUGCAAGUCUAAGUAUAAGUGUUUAUACGGCGAAACUGCGAAUGGCUCAUUAUAUCAGUUAUAAUCUACUUGAUCGAUUCUGUUACUUGGAUAACUGUAGGAAUUCUAGAGCUAAUACAUGCGAAAGGGCCGUACUGGGGGCAACUCUGGGAGGGCCGUGUUUACAAAGCGAGGAACCAGGAUGGGGCAUUCAACUUGGGGGCAACUCCAGGGUCUCAUAUAACAGACGAAUCAUUGUAAUCUCAUGAACCGAGGGUGAAGGCCUUUGGUGAUGCAAACGAGUAACUGCCCUAUCAACUUUCAACCGUAGUGUAGGGGACUACGGUGGUUGUAACGGGUACGGGGAAUUAGGGUUCGAUUCCGGAGAGGCAGCCUGAGAAACGGCUACCACUUCCAAGGAAGACAGCAGGCGCGUAAAUUAUCCAAUCCCAAUUCGGGGAGAUAGUGACAAGAAAUACUGGUGUAGGGCCUUUUGGGUUCUACUAUCGGAAUGAGUACAAUUUAAAACCAUUAGCGAGGAACAAUUGGAGGGCAAGUCUGGUGCCAGCAGCCGCGGUAAUUCCAGCUCCAAGAGUGUAUAUUAAAGUUGUUGCGGUUAAAAAGCUCGUAGUUGGACUGCAAGUUGAAGUGUGAAGUCCCCGGGGACGUUGUUCUCGGGAUCAAGGCUUUUGCUUUUCUUCUAGGAAAUUUGACGCAAAAACACGGGGUUCUCCUCGUGGUCAGGUUAGUUUUACUUUGAAUGAAUUAGGGUGUUCAAAGCAGGCGAAUCGCCGUGAAUACAUUAGCAUGGGAUAAUAAAAUAUGACAUUGGUCUAAUACUUAUUGGUUUCUGAGGCCAGAGUAAUGAUUAAAAGGGACAGUUGGGGUCGCUUGUAUUCAGUGGUCAGAGGUGAAAUUCUAGGACCCACUGAGGACAAACAAAUGCGAAGGCAUUCGACAAGGAUGUUUUCAUUAAUCAAGAACGAAAGUUGUGGGAUCGAAGAUGAUCAGAUACCGUCGUAGUCACAACCGUAAACUAUGUUGACUUAGGAUUGGGGGAUGUUAAUAGAUGACUCUCCUAGCACUAUGUGCGAAAGCAUAAGUAUCCAAACUCCGGGGGGAGUAUGGUCGCAAGGCUGAAACUUAAAUGAAUUGACGGAAGGACACCACCAGGAGUGGAACCUGCGGCUUAAUUUGACUCAACACGGGGAAACUCACCCGGUCCGGACAUUGUAAGGAUUGACAGAUUGAUAGCUCUUUCUUGAUUUGAUGGGAGCCGGUGCAUGGCCGUUUUUAGUUGGUGGAGUGAUUUGUCUGGUUAAGUCCGAUAACGAACGAGACCUCAAUUUGCUAAAUAGGAUGCUUCACAGGGUGGUCUUCUGGCUUGUCGGGUUUCGGCUCGGCUUGUUGGGGGGUUGCCGUUUAGUUGUGGGGCAAAUUUUA
This 1470-nucleotide ribosomal RNA is filed under the name metagenome. RNAcentral describes it as "SSU rRNA". It matches the Rfam family "Eukaryotic small subunit ribosomal RNA", at positions 1 to 1404 of the family's 1831-position model. The record is from RNAcentral.